AAAGUUAUAGAUGACGAUAAGAUGGUUCACUUCAUUCUAAACGGCCUUGAUUUUGAUUAUAAUCCUUUUGUAUCAUCGAUGCUUUGUCGUGUUGGCUUUCUCUCCUUGAGCGAGUUGUAUUCUCAGCUUCUUACUUAUGAUC
Setaria italica (foxtail millet) is the source of this 142-nucleotide small nucleolar RNA. It matches the Rfam family "Small nucleolar RNA Z247". Rfam says of the family: Z247 is a member of the C/D class of snoRNA which contain the C (UGAUGA) and D (CUGA) box motifs. Most of the members of the box C/D family function in directing site-specific 2'-O-methylation of substrate RNAs. Lineage: Eukaryota; Viridiplantae; Streptophyta; Magnoliopsida; Poales; Poaceae. The record is from Rfam.